This 72-nucleotide transfer RNA is filed under the name Candidatus Omnitrophota bacterium. RNAcentral's name for it is "tRNA-Arg". It matches the Rfam family "tRNA". From Rfam's summary of the family: Transfer RNA (tRNA) molecules are approximately 80 nucleotides in length. Their secondary structure includes four short double-helical elements and three loops (D, anti-codon, and T loops). The record is from RNAcentral. Lineage: Bacteria; Pseudomonadati; Candidatus Omnitrophota.
GCGCCUGUGGCCUAAUGGAUAAGGCACUGGCCUCCGGAGCCAGUCAUACCCGUUCAACUCGGGUCAGGCGCG